Molecule: long non-coding RNA, 691 nt
Organism: Zootoca vivipara (common lizard)
Lineage: Eukaryota; Metazoa; Chordata; Lepidosauria; Squamata; Lacertidae
Source: RefSeq, a predicted model, not a curated record
AGCGUGCAAAGUUGCUAUGCAAAGAGAGCUCUCUAUAAUGCUUCCUCGCUCCCCCUGGCUUGCUGGUCUGGAUCCAAUACUUUCAUGACAGGCAGGAGCAAGAAAACCAACGUUGCUCUAGCAAGUUUGUUGGAGAAGACAAAAUGAGAAGAUUGUGCUUAGAGUUACACUGAAUUGGAUUUGGAGAGUCCUGCUCAGCUUCUCGGAGAUGGAAAAUCGUGGUGUGCAGCUCCCAUGCGUUCUGAGGAACUAAGGACAGCCCAAAAGCUUGCAUAGUCACAGACAACUGCCCAAGUAUAAGCCUAAUCUACUACACAGGGUUGUUGUGUCGGUUAAGUGAUUCAACGAGGAAGGAGAGGACCGUGUCUGCUGCCUUGAGGUACCUGGAGAAAAAGGUGGGAUAGAAAUCCAGUACUUAAAAGAAAUGAGGAAAAAGUAUGUGUAUUUGUGUGUGUGGGGGGGGUGUUGUUGUCUUUGAUUGCUUUUUCUUGAUUUAAGUGUGUGUGUGUGAUAUUCAACAUUGUCUCAUAUAUGAGCUUUCCAAGGAAGACUGAUCAAUGGGCAGCUCUAUCAAUUAAAUAACCCAGAAAUACAAUAAUAAUAAUAAUAAUAAUAAUAAUAAUAAUAAUAAUAAUAAUAAUAAAUCAGUGCAACACUGGCACUUCCAAGAAACUGCCCCCUUUGUUGCUGA